UACGUAGGGGGCGAGCGUUGUCCGGAGUUACUGGGCGUAAAGCGCACGCAGGCGGUUUCGUACGUCUGGAGUGACAGUUCCCGGCUCAACUGGGAAAGGUCUUCGGAAACGGCGAGACUUGAGGGCUUCAGAGGGACACGGAAUUCCGGGUGGAGUGGUGAAAUGCGUAGAGAUCCGGAGGAACACCGAAGGCGAAGGCAGUGUCCUGGCGAGUAUCCUGACGCUGAGGUGCGAAAGCCAGGGGAGCGAACGGG
Molecule: ribosomal RNA, 254 nt
Filed under: uncultured bacterium
Lineage: Bacteria
Description: partial 16S ribosomal RNA
Rfam family: Bacterial small subunit ribosomal RNA
Source: RNAcentral